RNAcentral lists this ribosomal RNA (435 nucleotides) under Rhodococcus sp. R-45551. Its description in RNAcentral is "bacterial SSU rRNA". It matches the Rfam family "Bacterial small subunit ribosomal RNA", at positions 18 to 457 of the family's 1533-position model. Lineage: Bacteria; Bacillati; Actinomycetota; Actinomycetes; Mycobacteriales; Nocardiaceae. The record is from RNAcentral.
CCUGGCUCAGGACGAACGCUGGCGGCGUGCUUAACACAUGCAAGUCGAGCGGUAAGGCCCUUCGGGGUACACGAGCGGCGAACGGGUGAGUAACACGUGGGUGAUCUGCCCUGCACUUCGGGAUAAGCCUGGGAAACUGGGUCUAAUACCGGAUAUGAGCCUCCACUGCAUGGUGGGGGUUGGAAAGGUUUACUGGUGCAGGAUGGGCCCGCGGCCUAUCAGCUUGUUGGUGGGGUAAUGGCCUACCAAGGCGACGACGGGUAGCCGGCCUGAGAGGGCGACCGGCCACACUGGGACUGAGACACGGCCCAGACUCCUACGGGAGGCAGCAGUGGGGAAUAUUGCACAAUGGGCGAAAGCCUGAUGCAGCGACGCCGCGUGAGGGAUGACGGCCUUCGGGUUGUAAACCUCUUUCAGCAGGGACGAAGCGAGAGU